RNAcentral lists this ribosomal RNA (301 nucleotides) under uncultured bacterium. RNAcentral's name for it is "partial 16S ribosomal RNA". It matches the Rfam family "Bacterial small subunit ribosomal RNA", at positions 509 to 808 of the family's 1533-position model. The record is from RNAcentral.
CAGCAGCCGCGGGAACACAGAGGGUGCGAGCGUUAAUCGGAUUUACUGGGCGUAAAGCGUGCGUAGGCGGCUUUUUAAGUCGGAUGUGAAAUCCCUGAGCUUAACUUAGGAAUUGCAUUCGAUACUGGGAAGCUAGAGUAUGGGAGAGGAUGGUAGAAUUCCAGGUGUAGCGGUGAAAUGCGUAGAGAUCUGGAGGAAUACCGAUGGCGAAGGCAGCCAUCUGGCCUAAUACUGACGCUGAGGUACGAAAGCAUGGGGAGCAAACAGGAUUAGAUACCCCCGGUAGUCCCUGUCUCUUAUU